RNAcentral lists this ribosomal RNA (500 nucleotides) under uncultured bacterium. RNAcentral's name for it is "partial 16S ribosomal RNA". It matches the Rfam family "Bacterial small subunit ribosomal RNA", at positions 30 to 523 of the family's 1533-position model. The record is from RNAcentral.
AUUGAACGCUGGCGGCAGGCUUAACACAUGCAAGUCGAGCGGAGCGAGGGUGCUUGCACCUUAGCUUAGCGGCGGACAGGUGAGUAAUGCUUAGGAAUCUGCCUAUUAGUGGGGGACAACAUUCCGAAAGGAAUGCUAAUACCGCAUACGCCCUACGGGGGAGAGCAGGGGAUCUUCGGACCUUGCGCUAAUAGAUGAGCCUAAGUCGGAUUAGCUAGUUGGUGGGGUAAAGGCCUACCAAGGCGACGAUCUGUAGCGGGUCUGAGAGGAUGAUCCGCCACACUGGGACUGAGACACGGCCCAGACUCCUACGGGAGGCAGCAGAGGGGAAUUUUGGACAAUGGGCGAAAGCCUGAUCCAGCCAUGCCGCGUGUCUGAAGAAGGCCUUCGGGUUGUAAAGGACUUUUGUCAGGGAGGAAAUCCCUAGUGCUAAUAACACUGGGGGAUGACAGUACCUGAAGAAUAAGCACCGGCUAACUACGUGCCAGCAGCCGCAGUAA